CGAACGCUGGCGGCGUGCUUAACACAUGCAAGUCGAACGGUGACGCGCCUUCCUUUUUGGUGGGUGUGGAUGAGUGGCGAACGGGUGAGUAACACGUGAGUAACCUGCCCCCUUCUUCUGGAUAACCGCAUGAAAGUGUGGCUAAUACGGGAUAUUCUGGGUCUGUCGCAUGUUGGGUCUGGGAAAGAUAUUGUUUCGGUGGGGGAUGGGCUCGCGGCCUAUCAGCUUGUUGGUGGGGUGUUGGCCUACCAAGGCGGUGACGGGUAGCCGGCCUGAGAGGGUGGACGGUCACACUGGGACUGAGACACGGCCCAGACUCCUACGGGAGGCAGCAGUGGGGAAUAUUGCACAAUGGGCGCAAGCCUGAUGCAGCGACGCCGCGUGAGGGAUGGAGGCCUUCGGGUUGUGAACCUCUUUCGCCAGUGAAGCAGGCCUGCCUCGUUUGUGGGUGGGUUGACGGUAGCUGGAUAAGAAGCGCCGGCUAACUACGUG
RNAcentral lists this ribosomal RNA (492 nucleotides) under uncultured bacterium. RNAcentral describes it as "partial 16S ribosomal RNA". It matches the Rfam family "Bacterial small subunit ribosomal RNA", at positions 30 to 507 of the family's 1533-position model. The record is from RNAcentral.